GUUGGUGAACCAGCGGAGGGAUCAUUAUAGAGUCUUAAAAAACUCCCAAACCCAUGUGAACUUAUCAUAUUGUUGCCUCGGCGUAGCUGGGGAGGCUUGGACCUUUUGCCCAGCAAUCGGGACGCUUCUUCAGCCGCCGGUGGACAAACCAAACUCUGUUUUUAUUGAAUCUCUGAGUGAUUAUUAAAUAAAUCAAAACUUUCAACAACGGAUCUCUUGGUUCUG
RNAcentral lists this unclassified non-coding RNA (225 nucleotides) under rhizosphere metagenome. RNAcentral's name for it is "partial ribosomal RNA internal transcribed spacer region". The record is from RNAcentral.